GAUGAAGAACGUAGCGAAAUGCGAUAAGUAAUGUGAAUUGCAGAAUUCAGUGAAUCAUCGAAUCUUUGAACGCACCUUGCGCCCUUUGGCCAUUCCGAAGGGCAUGCCUGUUUGAGUAUCAUGAACACCUCAACUCUCAUGGCUCGCCAUGAUGAGCUUGGAUUUGGGGGUCUUGCUGGCCUGUGGUCGGCUCCUCUCAAAUGGAUCAGCUUGCCAGUGUUUGGUGGCAUCACAGGUGUGAUAACUAUCUGCGCUUGUGGUUUUCCAUCAGAUAACCUUCAGUGAUGGAGGUUCGCUGGAGCUCAUAAACGUCUCUCCUAAGCGGGGACAGCCCUUUGAAUGUUUGAUCUCAAAUCAGGUAGGACUACCCGCUGAACUUAAGCAUAUCAAUAAGCGGAGGA
RNAcentral lists this unclassified non-coding RNA (401 nucleotides) under soil metagenome. RNAcentral's name for it is "partial contains 5.8S ribosomal RNA, internal transcribed spacer 2, and large subunit ribosomal RNA". The stretch from base 1 to 121 matches the Rfam family "5.8S ribosomal RNA", at positions 35 to 154 of the family's 154-position model. The record is from RNAcentral.